GAUGAAGAACUUAGCGAAAUGCGAUAAGUAGUGUGAAUUGCAGAAUUCAGUGAAUCAUCGAAUCUUUGAACGCACAUUGCGCCCCUUGGUAUUCCAUGGGGCAUGCCUGUUCGAGCGUCAUUUGUACCCUCAAGCUUUGCUUGGUGUUGGGUGUUUGUCCCGCGUUGCGCGUGGACUCGCCUUAAAGCGAUUGGCAGCCGGCAUAUUGGCCUUGGAGCGCAGCACAUUUUGCGCUUCUAGUCAUGAAUGUUGGCGUCCAUUAAGCCUAUACAUUUGCUCUUGACCUCGGAUCAGGUAGGGAUACCCGCUGAACUUAAGCAUAUCAAUAAGCGGAGGA
RNAcentral lists this unclassified non-coding RNA (337 nucleotides) under soil metagenome. RNAcentral describes it as "partial contains 5.8S ribosomal RNA, internal transcribed spacer 2, and large subunit ribosomal RNA". The stretch from base 1 to 120 matches the Rfam family "5.8S ribosomal RNA", at positions 35 to 154 of the family's 154-position model. The record is from RNAcentral.